UACGGGGGGGGUAAGCGUUGUUCGGAAUUACUGGGCGUAAAGGGCUCGUAGGCGGCCAACUAAGUCAUACGUGAAGUCCCUCAGCUUAACUGGGGAACUGCGUGUGAUACUGGUUGACUUGAGUUGGGGAGGGGGAAGUGGAAUUCCGGGUGUAGCGGUGAAAUGCGUAGAUAUCCGGAGGAACACCGAUGGCGAAGGCAGCUUCCUGGCCCACAACUGACGCUGAGGUGCGAAAGCGUGGGGAGCGAACGGG
Molecule: ribosomal RNA, 253 nt
Filed under: uncultured bacterium
Lineage: Bacteria
Description: partial 16S ribosomal RNA
Rfam family: Bacterial small subunit ribosomal RNA
Source: RNAcentral